AUUGAACGCUGGCGGCAGGCCUAACACAUGCAAGUCGAACGGUAGCACAGAGAGCUUGCUCUCGGGUGACGAGUGGCGGACGGGUGAGUAACGUCUGGGAAACUGCCCGAUGGAGGGGGAUAACUACUGGAAACGGUAGCUAAUACCGCAUAACGUCGCAAGACCAAAGUGGGGGACCUUCGGGCCUCACACCCUCGGAGGUGCCCAGAUGGGAUUAGCUAGUAGGUGGGGUAAUGGCUCACCUAGGCGACGAUCCCUAGCUGGUCUGAGAGGAUGACCAGCCACACUGGAAAUGAGACACGGUCCAGACUCCUACGGGAGGCAGCAGUGGGGAAUAUUGCACAAUGGGCGCAAGCCUGAUGCAGCCAUGCCGCGUGUAUGAAGAAGGCCUUCGGGUUGUAAAGUACUUUCAGCGGGGAGGAAGGCGGUGAAGUUAAUAACUUCACCGAUUGACGUUACCCGCAGAAGAAGCACCGGCUAACUCCGUGCCAGCCGCCGCAGUAA
This 504-nucleotide ribosomal RNA is filed under the name uncultured bacterium. RNAcentral describes it as "partial 16S ribosomal RNA". It matches the Rfam family "Bacterial small subunit ribosomal RNA", at positions 29 to 523 of the family's 1533-position model. The record is from RNAcentral.